Corvus moneduloides (New Caledonian crow) is the source of this 1596-nucleotide long non-coding RNA. The record is from Ensembl. NCBI's taxonomy places the organism in Eukaryota, Metazoa, Chordata, Aves, Passeriformes, Corvidae.
AUGGUCCUCCAGGAGCCUCCACCCUGCUCCAGGGAUCACCAUGGUCCUCCAGGAGCCUCCAGGGAUCACCACUGUCCUCCAGGAGCUUCCAGGGAUCACCACUGUCCUCCAGGAGUCUCCAUCCUGCUCCAGGGAUCACCGCUGUCCUCCAGGAGCCUCCAGGGAUCACCAUGGUCCUCCAGGAGCCUCCAGGGAUCACCACUGUCCUCCAGGAGCCUCCACCCUGCUCCAGGGAUCACCGCUGUCCUCCAGGAGCCUCCAGGGAUCACCGCUGUCCUCCAGGAGCCUCCACCCUGCUCCAGGGAUCACCGCUGUCCUCCAGGAGCCUCCACCCUGCUCCAGGGAUCACCAUGGUCCUCCAGGAGCCUCCAGGGAUCACCGCUGUCCUCCAGGAGCCUCCACCCUGCUCCAGGGAUCACCGCUGUCCUCCAGGAGCCUCGACCCUGCUCCCCCAGCCAUCUUUCUCCUCCUCCAGGAAUCAUCAUUCUCCUUCUUCUGGAGCCACCACCAUCCUCCUCCAGGAGCCACCAUCCUCCUCCAGGAAUCAUCAUCAUCUUCCCCAUGAACCAUCCUCCUCCUCCAGGAGCCCUCAUCUUCCUCAUCUUCCUCCUCCAGGAGCCCUCCUCUUCCUCCUCCUCCUCCUCCUCCUCCAGGAGCCCUCAUCCUCCUCUUCCUCCUCCUCCUCCAGGAGCCCUCAUCCUCCUCUUCUUCCUCCUCCUCCAGGAGCCCUCAUCCUCCUCUUCCUCCUCCUCCUCCAGGAGCCCUCAUCCUCCUCCUCCUCUUCCUCCUCCAGGAGCCCUCCUCCUCCUCCUCCUCCUCCAGGAGCCCUCCUCCUCCUCCUCUUCCUCCUCCAGGAGCCCUCAUCCUCCUCCUCCUCUUCCUCCUCCAGGAGCCCUCAUCCUCCUCUUCCUCCUCCUCCUCCAGGAGCCCUCAUCCUCCUCCUCCUCUUCCUCCUCCAGGAGCCCUCAUCCUCCUCCUCCUCUUCCUCCUCCAGGAGCCCUCAUCCUCCUCCUCCUCCUCCUCCUCCUCCUCCUCCUCCAGGAGCCCUCCUCCUCCUCCUCUUCCUCCUCCAGGAGCCCUCAUCCUCCUCCUCCUCCUCCUCCUCCUCCUCCAGGAGCCCUCAUCUUCCUCUUCUUCCUCCAGGAGCCCUCAUCCUCCUCCUCCUCAUCCCCCCCCUCCUCCUCCUCCAGACCCCUCCUGCCUCUCCCCCCCCAGGCCCGGAGCUGCCCCCGCUCCUCCAGCCCAGGAGCUCCCUCCACUCCAAGCCCACCAGGAGCCACCUGGGGCCCCCAAACCUCUGCCAGAGCCUUCGAACGCCACCCAACCCCCCCAGCGCAGGGCCGAGAAGGGAAUGAAAGGUCACUUACCCACCCGAGGAGCUGGGAACUCAUCCCACGGUCCCAAAGGCACGGCUCAGGGCUCUGGCUGAGCCUCUCUUCUGCAGCUGGAGGCCAAAAUCAAACCAGAACCUGCUCCAGAACCUGCUCCAGAACCUGCUGCAAAGCUCUAACCUGGCUCAGCGCUCACCUUCCCUCCGUGUCCUGCUCUACCUGGUCACUCAUCACACAAAGAGCUGGAGGAAAGGGAGCAAGGUAA